RNAcentral lists this ribosomal RNA (304 nucleotides) under uncultured eukaryote. RNAcentral's name for it is "partial 18S ribosomal RNA". It matches the Rfam family "Eukaryotic small subunit ribosomal RNA", at positions 1470 to 1796 of the family's 1831-position model. The record is from RNAcentral.
CCCUUAGAUGUCCUGGGCCGCACGCGCGCUACACUGACGGGGCCAACGAGUCCUCCCUUGCCCGAAAGGGCCGGGUAAUCUUGUUAAACCCCGUCGUGCUGGGGAUAGAGCAUUGCAAUUGUUGCUCUUCAACGAGGAAUGCCUAGUAAGCGCGCGUCAUCAGCGUGCGUUGAUUACGUCCCUGCCCUUUGUACACACCGCCCGUCGCACCUACCGAUUGAAUGGUCCGGUGAAAUCUCCAGACGUGGUUUUACCAUGAAAGCUGAUUGAAUCUUAUCAUUUAGAGGAAGGUGAAGUCGUAACA